Molecule: ribosomal RNA, 240 nt
Filed under: uncultured bacterium
Lineage: Bacteria
Description: partial 16S ribosomal RNA
Rfam family: Bacterial small subunit ribosomal RNA
Source: RNAcentral
ACGUUAUUCGGAAUCACUGGGCUUAAAGCGCGUGUAGGCGGCCCGGCACGUCAUCGGUUGAAAUCCCCCGGCUCAACCGGGGAAGGGGCCGUGAUACGGCCGGGCUGGAGGGGGGUAGGGGGGACGGGAACUUCCGGUGGAGCGGUGAAAUGCGUUGAGAUCGGAAGGAACGCCCGCGGCGAAAGCGCGUCCCUGGACCCCACCUGACGCUGAGACGCGAAAGCCAGGGGAGCGAACGGG